CAAUUACAGAAGGGUAAGAUACAUCAGUUCUAUAGUUGACAGGCAUAUAAAACAAACCUUCAUAACCUUUCGGUCUAUUACAACCAGUUGCUUCAUCAUUUAUGAAAUCUGGAUUAGACUGAUGCUUCAAGUUUAUAAAUGGAGGUUAGGGAUGAGUACUUAUUGGGUACUUGAAGAACUGAGCACUAAAACCAAGAAGGAAAAUAUUGUGUCGCAACCAUCUGUUGGAAAUAUUGCGUGGGUGAAUUUUCAGUAAUUAAAACACAUAGGGGUUGAGGUGUUUAUUUCCUUCACUAGGUGACGGAAAUACAACUAAUUUAACAAUUUUCAAACUUAUGGAGUAAACCCUAAAAAACCAUAAAACAUAAUCUUCAGACGGGAGGUCAAACUCCACCUUGUAUACUUGGGGGAGGUUUCCAUAUGUAGGAAGAAGGUCAUGGGUUCAGCCACCCACCCCUGGUUAGCCCAAUACUGUGGUCGCACGACAACCAUAAGGUGUUUAGGAUAACCAAGAAGUACAACUUCAACUGUUAUCGUAAAUAAACUAUGUUAGGCAUUUGAUCGAAUAACUAAUCUGUGACCAAUAGGUGUGGUAUACUUCAGUGAUGUUCUAGACACGGGUUGCAGAUAGCCACCCAACCCCACCGCCCUUCCCCUCCCCCCUACCCACUAUCAGAAGAUCACAUGGCAAACAUAAGGAUUCUCAUACUCACCAUAGAAGGAAGGAAUCGUAUGAUGUAAAGCUGGGGGUGCCGCUGCAUAUCUGCCAAAAGGGCUACCGAGUACAUUCUAUUUGUACGGAUUGAUAACAGUUAACUCACGAGCAGAUGUAUGGGGUAAUGAAAAGCUUCACUAGAGGACCAUGCGCGCGCUACUAAGGAGUAGUUGCUCGGAAUCUCCGAUCCACUACCUAUGCGUCGUUGACGAUUAGAUGCUCGAACUCUCGAAUCGACUACCUAUGUGCCUCUAACGAGUAGCUGAUCGGCCUAUCUGAUGGAGUAGCUGCACGCCACAGCUGAGGUGAAAAGCCUAUUCGCGGGCCAACCCGACCGGAGUUACACGACUGCUGCAGUUGCUAGAUGGCAACACCUCUUCACGUUGCCCCAAGCCAUAUACCAACGCUGUUAACGCCCUCUGGUCUAGAUGGGGAAGCCUGCAAAGACUAUCCGCAUGACAAUUAACUUUGAGCUGCGAGAGUCAUAUCACAUAAUCCAAUGGCUGCUAGCAGCUAUAAAUUCCCCUUCUUCAUUAUUUGGGUCACAGUUACCCAUGAUGACAGCAGGCUACUUGGUCAUCGAGUGUAGUUUGUCCACGGCAGCAGGGCUUCUUAAAAACACGAACCUCCAUGGACGCAUAUCAUCUCGUUACAGCAGUUCUCCCACAAUGCGAUCUGCUGAGUCUGGUUCUCCGCCAACACUCUGAGCCCAAACCUGAGUGGCUAAUAAGCAACUCAAAUGGUCUCUACCAGGCAACCGUCACCAUUGUGGUGAACGGAAACGAGUCCUCGUUCGCGAGAAAACUCCGUUCGCUAGCUGAAGCAAGCAUCCAGACAACCACCCAUCUUGCAAUGUGGCACCUUAAAGAGGACUGGCGUGUACACGUCGUUGAUGUUACAUACCUGGAGUACCGGCACUGCGCUCGCCUGUGUCACAAUCUUCAAAAAGAGGUGGAUGAUCUACAACUUGAGAAUCUGGCAAUGAAGACUAAUAUCGCACGCAUGGUGCGCGAUCUUGCCGAGUUUAGGGCAAGGCCUAACAGCAGUGUGUCAAGCGCAAUCUUGCCCAUACUCAAGCGUACGACCAUUCUUUUAUCGUGUCUAUGAUUACAACUCUCCUCCUUUUUUCUCUUCAAACAUGUAUUGUGAUUGUACGAAAACUAUCUUGCACCGGUUGCUUGUUGAUAUGGCACACUACGACUCAAGUGAACUCA
This is a non-coding RNA of Nelumbo nucifera (sacred lotus), 1929 nucleotides long. Lineage: Eukaryota; Viridiplantae; Streptophyta; Magnoliopsida; Proteales; Nelumbonaceae. The record is from RefSeq and is a predicted model, not a curated record.